GACGAACGCUGGCGGCGUGCCUAAUACAUGCAAGUCGAGCGAAGAAGAUUGGUGCUUGCACCAAUUUGAAGAGCAGCGAACGGGUGAGUAACGCGUGGGGAAUCUGCCUUUGAGCGGGGGAUAACAUCUGGAAACGAAUGCUAAUACCGCAUAACAACUUUAAACAUAAGUUUUAAGUUUGAAAGAUGCAAUUGCUUCACCUAAAGAAGAUCCCGCGUUGUCUUUGGUAGGUGGUUAGGUAAAGGCCCACCAAGGCGAUGAUACAUAGCCGGCCUGAGAGGGGGGACGGGCAACUUGGGAAUGGGGAACGGCCCAAGCCCCUUCGGGGAGCAGCAGGAGGGAAUCUUCGGCAAUGGACGGAAGUCUGACCGGACAACGCCGGGUGGGGGGAGGAAGGUUUCGGGUCGGUAAACUCUGUUGAUUGGGGAGGACGAUGGUGAGAGUUGAAUGCUCAUCUAGUGACGGUAACUACCCAGAAAGCGACGGCUAACUACGUG
This 497-nucleotide ribosomal RNA is filed under the name uncultured bacterium. RNAcentral describes it as "partial 16S ribosomal RNA". It matches the Rfam family "Bacterial small subunit ribosomal RNA", at positions 28 to 507 of the family's 1533-position model. The record is from RNAcentral.